GGCCGGUUAGCUCAAUCAGUUUAGCGUGGUGUUAACAACGCCAAGGUCGCAGGUUCAAUUCCUGCUCGGUCC
RNAcentral lists this transfer RNA (72 nucleotides) under Apaloderma vittatum (bar-tailed trogon). It matches the Rfam family "tRNA". Rfam says of the family: Transfer RNA (tRNA) molecules are approximately 80 nucleotides in length. The record is from Rfam by way of RNAcentral. Lineage: Eukaryota; Metazoa; Chordata; Aves; Trogoniformes; Trogonidae.